RNAcentral lists this long non-coding RNA (1208 nucleotides) under Zea mays. Its description in RNAcentral is "long non-coding RNA (ZMAY_LNC005738)". Lineage: Eukaryota; Viridiplantae; Streptophyta; Magnoliopsida; Poales; Poaceae. The record is from RNAcentral.
AAUACUAGGUAACCUAUUAGGUCCCAUCAAUUUAACCUAACAGUGCAGGCAGGGUGAGAACAUAAAAGUAAAUAUUAUUAGGUCAAAGAAUGUGAUCAAGGACACAACUUGCCUUUUUGGUGCAACUCCAGGUGCUUCUCCAAGUUGGGCUUUAGGUUCCCCGUGACCUCGCUUCUAUUUGUAGCGAUAUAUACAGAUAGACAAGGAAUAGGUAAAAAUAACAUUACACCAAACAUGGAAACAAACUAUACAAUAACAUUCUACGCAUCGCUACGAAACCGUAUGUUCGAGAACCACUAAAAUCGGAGUUAAAACGAAGAAGAUAUAAAUUAUCUAAGUUUAUUGAGUUAUUUUUACACUUAAAAACAUUUUCCACAUUUAUUUAUGAAUUUCUGGAAUCCUUGGAUGGCGCUACUGAUAUUUGAAAAUACCAGGGUCUAGGGUAUAAAGUUUAGGACCUGAAUUUUAUGUUCUUAUAACGGUACAGGACCGUGGGUUUAUUACUAAAUCUAUCAGGGGCUCUUUAGCUAAAAUCUCGCGGUGAAGAGGUAUCGGCCAAUACUAGCCGUAGGAUCACGAUUGGUUGGCUCAGAUUAGAAGUUGCCUUCACCGAAACGGUGCGCAACCAGGGCCACUCAUCCUGCGAUCUACGGCCCUACUUUUAUGAAGAUCGAUUCAUUUUCAUCCGUCGGAUCUAAUCUCAACGGUUCACCGCAGACGGGCUCGAAGCGUUAUCCAGUUCUAAUCUAAGUCGUUGAUCCUUUGAUGAGCGGCACUCGAUCCAUCCUCUCCAGCCGGCCGAGCAGAGCGGCGGCGCUCGCGAUCCCCGCGGCGGAGCGUCAUCGGCACGCGGCGAUCACACGAUCUGGUGAACUAAUCGCGACGCAGAUUGGCGCAAAAGAAUAAUGAGGCUAUGGCGAAACUAUGGGCAUUGAAUUUACCGGCUAGUACGACGUGACAAGACCCGACCAUGGCGCGGACGGUUCCGCGGCGGCGUUAGAUCGUCGGCGACAAAUUCCCUUCGGUCUAAGGCUUCUCCCCGCCCAAUUAUGCCGUGGCUUCGUCAAGCGUGCAUCCGUGAACCCACUCGGCUACUUCAUGGGAGGAGAACGUCGGCAUAGACGUGGGUCGACGGCGGCGGCUCGAAUCCCUCCUCACCCUGCUCGGUUUCGUUCGUGGCUAAGGGUGCUUGUGUUUGGUUACGGCGC